Molecule: small nucleolar RNA, 58 nt
Filed under: Euglena gracilis
Lineage: Eukaryota; Euglenozoa; Euglenophyceae; Euglenales; Euglenaceae
Description: Eg-m100 box C/D methylation-guide
Source: RNAcentral
UGGAUGAUGAAUCCUUCUUGGUCCGUGUACUGAUGUUUGAUGACCGUAUUUCUGACUG